This 247-nucleotide ribosomal RNA is filed under the name uncultured bacterium. RNAcentral's name for it is "partial 16S ribosomal RNA". It matches the Rfam family "Bacterial small subunit ribosomal RNA", at positions 530 to 776 of the family's 1533-position model. The record is from RNAcentral.
GGGGGUAAGCGUUGUUCGGAAUUACUGGGCGUAAAGGGCUCGUAGGCGGCCAACUAAGUCGGACGUGAAAUCCCUCAGCUUAACUGGGGAACUGCGUCCGAUACUGGAUGGCUUGGAUUUGGGAGAGGGAUGCGGAAUUCCAGGUGUAGCGGUGAAAUGCGUAGAUAUCUGGAGGAACACCGGUGGCGAAGGCGGCAUCCUGGACCAAUAUUGACGCUGAGGAGCGAAAGCCAGGGGAGCAAACGGG